Molecule: ribosomal RNA, 252 nt
Filed under: uncultured bacterium
Lineage: Bacteria
Description: partial 16S ribosomal RNA
Rfam family: Bacterial small subunit ribosomal RNA
Source: RNAcentral
UACGUAGGGGGCAAGCGUUAUCCGGAAUUACUGGGCGUAAAGCGAGCGCAGGUGGUUUAUUAAGUCUGGUGUAAAAGGCAGUGGCUCAACCAUUGUAUGCAUUGGAAACUGGUAGACUUGAGUGCAGGAGAGGAGAGUGGAAUUCCAUGUGUAGCGGUGAAAUGCGUAGAUAUAUGGAGGAACACCGGUGGCGAAAGCGGCUCUCUGGCCUGUAACUGACACUGAGGCUCGAAAGCGUGGGGAGCAAACAGG